UUACAGACAUGAGCCACCACGCCCGGCCUGGAGCCCAUAUUAUUAAAGAUAACUCACACAGAAGCCAAAUAAACACACAGGUUAGAAAUAAGUGAGGCCUGAUGAAGAGAUUCAAAGGAAGACAAGAGUCCAGCGAAUUCAUGUGUCCUGCCAGAAUGAAGAGAGGAUGACUCCCAUUCUAAUGGGCUCCAGAGAAGAGGGUGAAGGUACAGAGCAACUCUUUAAUUUCAUCAAAUAAAUGGCUUUGCAAAUAUCAACGUGUCUUACUUUACAACAGGGCUUGAGUUUUCUAUUGCUAAAUCUCCCCUGGCAGUG
Molecule: long non-coding RNA, 315 nt
Filed under: Homo sapiens (human)
Lineage: Eukaryota; Metazoa; Chordata; Mammalia; Primates; Hominidae
Description: HSALNT0047852
Source: RNAcentral